This 104-nucleotide transfer RNA is filed under the name Nitrososphaerota archaeon. RNAcentral's name for it is "tRNA-OTHER". It matches the Rfam family "tRNA". From Rfam's summary of the family: Transfer RNA (tRNA) molecules are approximately 80 nucleotides in length. Their secondary structure includes four short double-helical elements and three loops (D, anti-codon, and T loops). Further hydrogen bonds mediate the characteristic L-shaped molecular structure. tRNAs have two regions of fundamental functional importance: the anti-codon, which is responsible for specific mRNA codon recognition, and the 3' end, to which the tRNAs corresponding amino acid is attached (by aminoacyl-tRNA synthetases). tRNAs cope with the degeneracy of the genetic code in two manners: having more than one tRNA (with a specific anti-codon) for a particular amino acid; and 'wobble' base-pairing, i.e. permitting non-standard base-pairing at the 3rd anti-codon position. Lineage: Archaea; Thermoproteati; Nitrososphaerota. The record is from RNAcentral.
GCGGGGGUACCCAAGUCAGGCCAAAGGGGGCGGAGCUCGUUGCGUCCAGACUUAAGAUCCGCUGGCGAAGGCCUUCGUGGGUUCAAGUCCCACCCCCCGCACCA